GGAGAGAUGGCCGAGUCGGCUGAAGGCGCUCGCCUGCUAAGCGAGUGCAUGGCGAAAGCUGUGCCGAGGGUUCGAAUCCCUCUCUCUCCGCCA
Molecule: transfer RNA, 93 nt
Filed under: uncultured Desulfobacteraceae bacterium
Lineage: Bacteria; Pseudomonadati; Thermodesulfobacteriota; Desulfobacteria; Desulfobacterales; Desulfobacteraceae
Description: tRNA-Ser
Rfam family: tRNA
About the family: Transfer RNA (tRNA) molecules are approximately 80 nucleotides in length. Their secondary structure includes four short double-helical elements and three loops (D, anti-codon, and T loops).
Source: RNAcentral